This is a long non-coding RNA of Vombatus ursinus (common wombat), 877 nucleotides long. RefSeq lists it as uncharacterized. NCBI's taxonomy places the organism in Eukaryota, Metazoa, Chordata, Mammalia, Diprotodontia, Vombatidae. The transcript has 3 exons. The record is from RefSeq and is a predicted model, not a curated record.
AUUUUAGAUUCAGUGAAUAUUUACUUUCUGUCUCCAGAACCAAGACUACAUUCUAUUUGGAGCAACUGAACUGAAUUUGUUUCUAACUUCAUUUCACUUCAGAAGAUUACUUGGAGGAAGAGGAUGAAAAAGUGUUCAGAGGGAGAGUCUUGCUGCAGAUUUCUCUGCUGUCCUUGAGGAAUUCACUGAAGCUGCCUUUGUCUCCAUUUCCACAUUCAUAAAAAGUGAAGAUGAAACAUGUUUCUAAAAUUGCUCAAAGACCCCCAAGGGAAAGGUUCAGUGUGAAGUAUUAUUGGCAUCUUUAUGGAACAAACUGUGCAUUGCAGGAAUAGAAGCAAUAGGAAAAGGAGUACAACCAGAGAACCUGUGAUUUGAAGCUCAACAGCCAAAGAAAACACUCUCCCUAAUAUUAGACACUCUUUGAAAUUAUCCCACAAGGAUGUCUGAACCUGAGUUAUUUCAAGAUCUGAACAAAUGAGAUCUUCAAAUAAUUGCAUAUUGUUGAUCCGGUCCUCUCCACUCCAAUUUAAUCUGAAAGAGUUGAGUUUUCUCAUUCAACCGCUUUUCCUUUCUUUGGGAGGAGGUGGGGAAGGUGAGUGGGUUGGUGUUUGAACGUUCAUUUUUUUUUUUCAGAAGAAGGAACUGCUUUCCACACAAAUGGAUUAGGUGGACAAAACUUAAUAUUUAACACGUUCAAAAUAUUAACGUUCAUUUUGUGGUGUCAAUAUCGAUUGUUAUUUUAUAGAUGAGAAAACGAUCCAUCAUCGACAGAGGCUUUAGAUUGCUAGCUGCAAACCUAGACUUGGAGCCAAAAGCUUUUGAGUUUAAAUCUAUAAUUGGGACCGCCACUUUGCUCCUCAAUAAAUUGUAAGGCACU